Molecule: ribosomal RNA, 587 nt
Filed under: uncultured bacterium
Lineage: Bacteria
Description: partial 16S ribosomal RNA
Rfam family: Bacterial small subunit ribosomal RNA
Source: RNAcentral
UGGGGAAUUUUGGACAAUGGGCGAAAGCCUGAUCCAGCAAUGCCGCGUGUGUGAAGAAGGCCUUCGGGUUGUAAAGCACUUUUGUCCGGAAAGAAAUCCUUGGCUCUAAUACAGUCGGGGGAUGACGGUACCGGAAGAAUAAGCACCGGCUAACUACGUGCCAGCAGCCGCGGUAAUACGUAGGGUGCAAGCGUUAAUCGGAAUUACUGGGCGUAAAGCGUGCGCAGGCGGUUUGCUAAGACCGAUGUGAAAUCCCCGGGCUCAACCUGGGAACUGCAUUGGUGACUGGCAGGCUAGAGUAUGGCAGAGGGGGGUAGAAUUCCACGUGUAGCAGUGAAAUGCGUAGAGAUGUGGAGGAAUACCGAUGGCGAAGGCAGCCCCCUGGGCCAAUACUGACGCUCAUGCACGAAAGCGUGGGGAGCAAACAGGAUUAGAUACCCCUGGUAGUCCACGCCCUAAACGAUGUCAACUAGUUGUUGGGGGAUUCAUUUCCUUAGUAACGUAGCUAACGCGUGAAGUUGACCGCCUGGGGAGUACGGUCGCAAGAUUAAAACUCAAAGGAAUUGACGGGGUCAUAGCUGUUUCCU